Molecule: non-coding RNA, 175 nt
Filed under: Candidatus Kentrum sp. TC
Lineage: Bacteria; Pseudomonadati; Pseudomonadota; Gammaproteobacteria
Source: RNAcentral
CCUACCGCAAAGUUGGGAUCCGAAGGAAGCCGAAGGCAAACUCCAGAUCCUAUGAACAGGAACCGCGUACGAGGCAGCCACAUCUGGGCGAGGAGGCAAUGAGAUCCAAAGCCCGAUAGUCACCCGGAAGGUGUGGAAGUAUAUGCGGCGAUAUAUGGGAGGAAGGUCACGCGUC